UGGGGAAUUUUGGACAAUUGGGCGAAAGCCUGAUCCAGCAAUGCCGCGUGUGUGAAGAAGGCCUUCGGGUUGUAAAGCACUUUUGUCCGGAAAGAAAUCCUUGGCUCUAAUACAGUCGGGGGAUGACGGUACCGGAAGAAUAAGCACCGGCUAACUACGUGCCAGCAGCCGCGGUAAUACGUAGGGUGCAAGCGUUAAUCGGAAUUACUGGGCGUAAAGCGUGCGCAGGCGGUUUGCUAAGACCGAUGUGAAAUCCCCGGGCUCAACCUGGGAACUGCAUUGGUGACUGGCAGGGCUAGAGUAUGGCAGAGGGGGGUAGAAUUCCACGUGUAGCAGUGAAAUGCGUAGAGAUGUGGAGGAAUACCGAUGGCGAAGGCAGCCCCCUGGGCAAGUACUGACGCUCAUGCACGAAAAGCGUGGGGAGCAAACNGAUUAAUNCCUUGGUAGUCCACGCCCCUAAAANGAUGUCAACUAGUUGUUGGGGAUUCAUUUUCCUUAGUAACGUA
RNAcentral lists this ribosomal RNA (506 nucleotides) under uncultured bacterium. RNAcentral's name for it is "partial 16S ribosomal RNA". It matches the Rfam family "Bacterial small subunit ribosomal RNA", at positions 355 to 850 of the family's 1533-position model. The record is from RNAcentral.